Molecule: transfer RNA, 74 nt
Filed under: Salmonella phage Kenya-K36
Lineage: Duplodnaviria; Heunggongvirae; Uroviricota; Caudoviricetes; Demerecviridae
Also listed under: 1 other name
Description: tRNA-Cys
Rfam family: tRNA
About the family: Transfer RNA (tRNA) molecules are approximately 80 nucleotides in length. Their secondary structure includes four short double-helical elements and three loops (D, anti-codon, and T loops).
Source: RNAcentral
CGACCGUUGGCUGAAUGGCUUAGGCGAAGGAUUGCAAAUCCUUUUUUAUGUGAGUUCAAAUCUCAUGCGGUCGU